Molecule: ribosomal RNA, 253 nt
Filed under: uncultured bacterium
Lineage: Bacteria
Description: partial 16S ribosomal RNA
Rfam family: Bacterial small subunit ribosomal RNA
Source: RNAcentral
UACGGAGGGUGCUAGCGUUGUUCGGAAUUACUGGGCGUAAAGCGCGCGUAGGCGGACCUGCAAGUCGGGGGUGAAAGCCCGAGGCUCAACCUCGGAACUGCCUUCGAUACUGCGGGUCUCGAGUCCGAGAGAGGUGAGUGGAAUUCCUAGUGUAGAGGUGAAAUUCGUAGAUAUUAGGAAGAACACCAGUGGCGAAGGCGGCUCACUGGCUCGGUACUGACGCUGAGGCGCGAAAGCGUGGGGAGCAAACAGG